UUCAGCCAGCUCACGCUCGAUCAACAACGAAACCAGAAGAAGCCCCAUCGUUGACUGAAGAUCCUCACCGCACGGAGUCAAGACCACCUGUUUCUCCACUAUCUUCGUGCGCCAACGUUUCCAUCGGGUUCUUCUCACGCUGUUGCUGAAACUGCUUUAUGAUCGCUCCACUGCAGCAACGACACAGCUCCACCUCCUACCCUAGUUGCUGCCAAGAAACCAACGUCCCCACUCAGUCAAGGUUUCCUAGCCAGCGAAGACCCCACCGAAAUCCCACAUCACUCCUCUCUCCUCUGCGGCACGCGCCAGCGUCCACUAGCCCCUGUCCCCUUCGGUCAAGCUUCUUCGUCCAGCAGAAUGAGUUGACUUCUAGCUGCCGCUAUUCCGCUGAAGAUCGAAGCUCUCAGAUCCAGCAACCGUGAAGCCAACGAAGCCGGAGCUGCACGCGUCUUCCCCAGCUCGACGCUGCUUCCUCUCCGCGUGUCCUCGGCCCGUGAAUUUCAGCACCUUCGGCCAGUUAGCAGCCCAGCUCAUCUGUGAUUCCAGCGAGCCUUCUCGAAGAAGCCCAGUCACGUGUCUCCAGCUUAGCACUUUCAGCAAUUUUCAGCCCAAAGAGAGCCCAUUUUCAGUUUAAUUCUGGCUCAGCAAGCAACCCACAAUUCAGUAUUUUCAAGCCCAAGUGAUUAAAGAAGUCAGCCCAAUCUUAAAGUCCAAAGUUUCUUCGGGCUUGCGAAGUUCUUGUCCCAGCCCAAGUUCGGCCGCCGUUGCGUCGUCGUCUCGGUGUCCCGGCCUUCGUUUGGUGCAAGUGGGUUUUACUCACUAAUGCUUUCUUAGUUUGCUAAUUAUACUUAGGGUUGGUUAGAUUUAAUUAAAUGCAAUUAGGUGGUUAGAUUAGGUUAGAACAAAUAAAUUAGUGACUUAAGGAUGCAUGUUAGGUGGUUAGCUAUAGCCAUUAGGGAGUAGAAAUACUCUAUUAUUUAUUGAAUGCAUCUCGGGAUUUUUCCCUACCCGUUUCGAGUUCCAUUCAGGCAAUACGGGCCUAAAUUGGAUUUUUAAUAUUAAUUUAUUUAAUUUUCGAAAUUAAUUAUUUAAUUAUUUAUUUUUCUGGAAAUUCAACCGGGAUGGUCGGUGACCGGAAUUUCGUGCCGAUUGUCGUGGUGCAGUCCGUUUAUUUAAUUGAGCUUCAAUUUUUAUGGAAUUGAUUUAAAUUGUGAAAUUUGAGGAAUUGUCCUAAAUUGUUUGUUAUUGAAUAUUUGAUUGGUAGAUGGCCGAGUAUGGGUAUAUAGCGCCAGUACGUUGAUGGGCUAUAUAGUAGAGAGAAUGGUGAGAGCUAACUGAGAAUGUUAUUGGCUGAGACCAGUCAGGUACGAUAUUUUGGACAAACGUGGUUCGGUGAUUGGAAGUAUCAUUGGCGAAAACGGCGCCUUAAAAAACGCACGUGAAUAACUUAUAGACAAACGUGGUUCGGUGAUUAAGGAAAUAUCACUGGUGAAAACGACGCCUUAAAGAACUCACAAUGUUGUCUAUUGCCGAUGUCACCUUGGCGAAAACGGCGCCCUAGAAAGGACACGUGGUUCGGUUAUCGAGAAUAUCACUGGUGAAAACGGCGCCUUAAAGAACGCACGGUGUCGGUGAUCGGUAUGUCAUUGGCGAAAACGACGCCCGAGAAACACAUGUGAUUUGGUGAAGGAGUAUAUCAUUAGGGAAUCAUGAUAUGAGUGGGAAUGACCUAGAGGUGAUUCAAAUGACAUGUAAUUGACUAAAUUGAUUGACCAGUGCUUGAUCGGAUGUUGUGAAUUGUUUGAAUAUCUGUGUUUAACCAUGAAUUGCAGGUUGGAAUCUGAGGCCAAGGUAAGUCCUUUGGUCUGUGCAUGUUUAGGCAACCUAUAGUGUAUUGGCUUACUAAUCAGAUUUUAGGGGGUGAGACGUGGUCUCAUUAGUUAUUGAAUAACCAUUUCAGGACCCUGAGGAGGAGCCAAGGAAGAGGAACCUGAGGAGGAGAAAGAUUUUUGAAGAAGAAGAAGAUGAUCCAGAGAGGGAUCUUGAGUACAACUCGGAUGUGGAUUGAGAUCCCAUCCCUUUUGUGAACCCUGUCUUAGUGUACAUAGGUGUGAGACUUGUUGCUGUAAAUAGUAUUGUAAAUAUACUAUGAGUUAUGCUGUUAAUAAAAGUGUGGUUGUGAAUUUCAAUAUGAAAAAUAUGGCCUGCUUUUCUAUCCCAUUGUUUUAUUGUCUGGGGAUUUAAAACUCCUUCCGCAUGCGAAUAAAGAGAAAGGGUCGGCGAUACUUAGUCCUGGGAUAUUGCACUUUAAAAUCGACAAAGUAGAAAGAUGUGUGCGUCCCCAAGGAUCGGGGUGUGACAUGCCCUUUUUGUGGUAUCAGAGCUUAAUUCAAGAUUGGAGUGAUAAGGAGCGUUGACCAUGCGAUAGUUGGUAGGAAAGGCCUUUAAAUUCAUGCUGGUGCAUGUUUGUGUUAGCUGAGUGCUAAAAUUAUUUGUUGUUUGAAUCGCUCUGUUUCUAAUUCGGUGUUGAAUUGGAAACAGGUGUCAGUUGUUUAAAGUGACACUAUGAGCGAUCAGGAGCCGAGGACUCCUACAAAGAGGGCCAGUAGGGCUGUGACUCGGGGUAGAGCGCCGACUAGAAUCGGUACCCGAGGAGGCCGUGGUCGAGCGCCAGCACAGGCUAGUGCGAGUGGAAUGGUUCCACCUGUUAUAGAUGCUAGAGUAGCACCACCUCCUGUUGGUGCUAGGGUAGCAGCCUCGGGUGAGCAAGGAAUUGUCGAAAUCAACCAACCUCUAGAUGCUAUGCGGGAGAUGAUGGGGCGAUAGGCUCGAGAUCAAGCUACCGCCUUUAUUGCUGCUAUUGAAGCCGCCGCCACUGCUGCUGCCAAUGCUGCUAUUGCUGCCGCAGCUGCCGCCGUACCUGCUGCCGCACCUGUCACUGCACCUGCCGCAGCUCAAGCUGAAGGUCCACCCGGAAUAGUGGUCGCGGACAAACCAAUUCAUCAGUUGGUAGAACAAUUCCUGAAGCUAAAUCCGCCUCAGUUUAUCAGGACCAGAGACCCUGAAGCUGCUACUUCAUGGAUCCAGAAAUUGGAGAAAGCUUUUGCACUGUUAAUGUGCAAUGAGACUGAAAAGGUAGUACUUGCAACUUACCAACAGGAUGGAGUUGCAGAUACUUGGUGGAAGACGACUCGAGGAACCAUAUUCCCAUAAGGUGUUGUUCCAGAGUGGAACGCCUUUCUAGAGGAUUUUAAUGUCAAAUAUUUCUCAAAAACUGCCAGAGAGGUGAAGAUGGCAGAAUUUCAACGCCUUCGCCAGGGUUCCCUAACCGUCGAUCAAUAUGAGGCAAAGUUCGCUGAACUUUCGCAGUAUGCUCCUGAAUUAAUUGCAAAUCCAGUAAACCGAGCGAGGAGGUUCAGAGAAGGAUUCAAGCCAAACUUAAGAAGUACAUUGAUUUCCCUAAACCUGAGGACUUAUAAUGAUCUUUAUGAGAGAGCCUAAAUGAUCGAGAGAGAUCAGAAUGACAGAGUUGCCUCAUCGGGGUCGAGAUUUAACUCUCAUCGAGAGAAUAUUCGUUAGGGAAAAAGACCCAUGUCCAGAGGUAGAUCCCAUGCCCCACCCUUCAAAAGAAGCGAAUUCAAUAGGCAGAUGUCCAAUAACAUGGGUAUAUGUCGCUUUUGUGGAAGGCGACACGGGACAGCUCCGUGCCCAGCAAGGACAGGAGCUUGUUUCGAGUGUGGCUAGCAGGGCCGCAUCGCAAGGUAUUGUCCAAAGAAGCAGAGAGGACAACCUCAAUUGCCACCGCCACCACCGAGAGGACAGAUAAGAGGGUAUGCCCCUCAGAACGUGCCACAAGGAGGACAACAGAGACCUCCAGCUCAAGGCACGAUUUAUGCAAUCACACAAGGUCAGGCGGAAGCUGCGCCUAACGUGAUAAUGGGUAUGAUUUCGCUCAACGACCAACCUGCUUAUGCUUUGUUUGAUCCGGGAGCAACCCACUUAUUUAUUGCUAAGCAGUAUGUUAACUUGAUAGGAGUCAGUCCUAUAUUAUUGGAGCCGAUGAUGUGCAUAUCUACACCCUUGAAAGAUAAAGUUAUUACUACUUUGGGUUGUUCGGGGUGCAAGUUAGUGAUUGGUGAACGAGAGGGGAAAAUAGAUAUUUUAGUCCUAGCCAUGUAUGACUUUGAUUUAAUAAUUGGUAUGGACUGGCUCACCAAGAAAAGAGCUAAAAUGGACUGUUAUCGUAAAGCGAUUCAGUUUGACCCGAUAGAUGGUGAGAGCUUCGAGUUUGAAGGAAGUCGAGGAGGACCCUCGAUUGUCCUAAUCUAGUCGCUUGAGACAGCUCGUUUGUUAGACGAGGGUUGUCAAGGGUACUUGGCAACUGUCGUGGAUAUGACAGUUGAGGAACUGAAAGUGGAGGACAUUUCAGUUGUUCAGGAAUUCCAAGAUGUCUUCCCAAAGGAAUUGCCAAGGUUACCGCCAGAAAGGGAGAUUGAAUUUGUAAUCGAACUAGUACCGGGGACAGAACCGAUCUCAAGGGCGCCUUACUGAAUGUCAUUAUCAAAGUUGAAAGAAUUGAAAGUGCAGAUGCAAGAAUUAUUGGACACAGGAUUUAUUCGUCCUAGUGCAUCGCCUUGGGGAGUACCAGUUCUAUUUGUUAAAAAGAAAGAUGGAUCAUUGCGCCUGUGCAUUGAUUAUCAACAGCUCGACUAGGUAACCAUUAAGAACAAAUAUCCCUUCCCAAGGAUUGAUGAUCUGUUCGAUCAAUUGCAAGGAGUGUCAAUAUUCUCGAAGAUUGAUUUGAGGAUUGGAUAUCAUCAGCUGAGAAUUAAGAAGGAGGAUAUUCCUAAGUCAGCAUUUCGUACUCGGUAUAGUCAUUACGAGUUCACAGUGAUGCCAUUCGGGUCGAUGAAUGCUCCAACUGCCUUCAUGGAUAUGAUGAACCGAAUAUUCAAGAAAUAUCUAGAUCAAUUUGUGAUCGUGUUCAUUGAUGAUAUCUUGGUCUAUUCGAGGAGUGAUGAAGAGGAUGAGAAUCAUCUGAGAUUAGUGCUCCAGACUUUAAGGAUGCAUCAGUUGUAUGCUAAGUUUAGCAAAUGCGAGUUUUAGUUGACUCGUGUUACGUUCUUAGGUCAUGUGAUUUCCGAAGAAGGAAUCUCCGUCGACCCGAGCAAGAUAGAAGCCGUGAUCAAUUGGCAGAGACCGACAUUAGUGACAGAAAUCAGAAGUUUUCUAGGAUUGGCAGGUUAUUACAGACGGUUUGUAGAAGGUUUCUCAGCGUUAGCAUCACCUCUAACUAAGCUCACGAAGAAAAACGAGAAGUUCAUAUGGAGUGCGAGCGUAGUUUUCAAGAGCUGAAGGAAAAGCUGACUAUUGCACCUGUGCUGACAAUUCUAUCUGGCCCCAGAGGAUUCGAGAUCUAUAGUGAUGCGUCAUUCAAAGGAUUGGAUUGUGUAUUGAUGCAACAUGGCAGAGUUGUUGCAUACGCCUCCCGUCAGUUGAGACCUCGUGAGUUGAACUAUCCAACGCAUGACUUAGAGCUCGCAGCCAUUAUAUUUGCCCAGAAGAUUUGGAGACAUUACUUGUGCGGGGAAAAGUUCCAGAUCUUCACGGACCAUCAAAGUCUCAAGUAUUUAUUCUCUCAAAAUAAGUUGAACAUGAGACGGCGCCGAUGGAUGGAAUUGCUGAAAGACUACGACUGUGAUAUUUUAUAUCACCCAGGGAAGGCGAACAAGGUCGCCGAUGCUUUAAGUCGAAAGUCUUCAGUGGCUCAAAUACUGAUUAAGGAGUGGAACUUAAUCGAGAGAGCUCGAGACUCGGAAUUUAAAUUUGAGGUAGGCCACCUCUCGAGUUUUAUGGCCACCCUCAGAAUUGAACCGGAUGUCCGGGUUAGAAUCAAACAACUCCAACUGACAGACCCAGAUGUACAGAGAAUUCUUCAGGAAGACACAAAGAAAAGAAAGGCUGAUUUUCAAAUCGCUGAUGACGGGACACUAAGAUUCCAAGGAGGAUUGGUUGUACCUAACGAUGUAGAGCUUAGAGAAGAAAUUUUAUCUGAAGCACAUUGUAGCAGUUACAGCAUUUAUCCUGGAAGCACUAAGAUGUAUCAGAAUCUGUGUCAACACUAUUGGUAGUCAGGUAUGAAGGCGGAUAUCACCAAACAUGUGGCCAAGUGUUUGACAUGUCAACAAGUAAAAGCUCAGCAUUGCAAGCCGGGAGGACUUCUGCAACCUCUCGCGAUCCCAGAGUGGAAAUGGGAACAUAUCACGAUGGACUUCGUGACUAGGCUACCAAGAAGUCAAAGAGGGAAUGAUUCGAUCUGGGUGGUAGUCGAUAGAUUGACAAAGUCAACUCACUUCAUUGCAGUUCGAAGGGACCUUAGUUUGGAUAGGCACGCAGACCUAUAUGUGCGCCAAGUGGUUCGAAUGCAUGGAGUGCCGGUUACGAUAACAUCUGAUAGAGACUCGAGAUUUACUACUGCUUUUUGGAAGAGUUUGCAGAGUGCUCUUGGUAAAAAGCUUCAGUACAGUACGGCGUAUCAUCCUCAGACGGAUGGCCAGUCUGAGAGGACAAUUCAGACCCUCAAAGACAUGCUGAGAGCUUGUAUAAUAGACUUCAAGGGAAGUUGGGAAGAUCAACUUCAUCUGGUAGAAUUCGCCUACAACAAUAGUUAUCAGCAGAGUAUUCAGAUGGCUCCAUUCGAAGUGUUGUAUGGCAGAGCAUGCAGAACACCAGUGUGUUGGGAUGAGGUUGGGGAAAGAAAAAUCACAGGCCCAGAGUUGGUUCAACAGUCAGUAGAUGCCGUGGCAGUGAUCAGAGACAGAUUAAAGACAGUGCAGAGCAAACAGAAAAGUUACGCAGAUAAGCGCCAGAGGUCUUUGGAAUUCCAAGUUGGUAAUCACGUUUUUCUAAAAGUAUCACUAAUGAGGAGAACUUCGCGCUUUGGUAAGAAAGGCAAAUUGAGUCCGAGGUACGUAGGUCCGUUUGAGAUUCUUGAAAUAAUCGGGACCUUAGCGUAUCGUCUUGUGUUGCCGCCAAGAUUGGCGCAAAUGCAUGACGUCUUUCACGUGUCGAUCUUAAGGAAGUACGAGCCUGACCCGACCCACGUGCUCAAUUUCGAGGAAUUGGACGUGGAUGACCGUGUGUCAUACGUCGAAAGACCGGUCCAGAUUGUUGAUCGCAAAAAGCAAGUUCUGCGUACAAAGACCAUCCCGUUGGUCAAAAUGGUUUGGCAACACCACGGUAUAGAAGAAGCGACAUGGGAGACUGAGGAGUCAAUGAGACAAUUGUAUCCCCACCUUUUUUAUCAAGUCUUGUAAGGUUUAAAUUUCGAUGAUGAAAUUUUUAUAAGAGGGGAAGAGUUGUGACAUCCAGAUUUUUCAACCCUGUCUUCUACUGAAUAAAUCGGGCAUUUCAUUGACGCGCUUAUAGGGUUAUUCUCAGAGCCGAUCACUCUCGAGAUAACUAGACUAUCUGGGGAAAUUAUUAAGGAAUUUUAAGGCAAUAGACUUGAGAACUAGAUUAGGAAUCGGCUUCUCGACCAUGUCCAUCUUUAGAGGUCAUUACGGCAUAGUUAAAAAUCUAUUUGAAAUCAGAGAUAGACUGGUUCGAAAGAUAUGUGUGGCUAAUCGUGGGUGACACCACUAAAUUGGAAAAUGCUCGUCGACCGGCAUUAGACUGAUUUUCUUAUUGUUUUGGUACCCUGUGUUUGUAUUUGGAUCCUCGAGAUUUUCACGACAAGCGAGAGUCACCAAUGAGUCGAGUGGGUUCAUAGUGGUUCGAAGAAAAUCGACCACGGGUCAUUUGCACUUAAAAAUAUAUGAAAGUUACUCGAUAGCCUAGGUCACGCUAAAAACGCGCUAAGUUGAAAUUAACAGCGAAUUCAAGUCCGAUUUCGGAAAUCGAAGUUUCUGUCAUGUCACAAUAAAUUCUAGGAGUAUCGACUCAGUCUUAGAAUUUUUUUUUUGACACUCGACACUUUUUGGGAAAAAGUCGUCGCCGGGUCAUGUUUGUACAGAAAAUGUCGAAGAUGGUUUUCGAUUGCGAAAUUGAGAAACAUGAAGGAUACUUGGGUGAGGAAAAAUGUUGGGGUAAUUGAUGGAUGACCAAUUGAUUUUGUGAGGUUCAAUUGAGAUGAAAUUUGGAUGGGAUGAACAUCCAAUUGAAGCCGAAAUUUUAAAAUUCGUAGCCCCCUCCCUCCUAGCCAUUUUGGACCAAUUGGAAAGUCUUGGAGAGGGUCUUGGUGGAUCAUUGGAGGCCAUGGGAUUAUACUUGGCUUAGGAUAGCCUUGAAAGAUAUUUGUUGUGGAAAAUCAAGGCUUUGUGGAGCCCUCACUUCUCAUUCUUAUCCAUCUCUCUCUCACCCCACCAACCGGUCACUCUCUCUCUCUCUCCUCUACCCCUCCAUUCGACGACCUCAGCCAGCGGAAGAGAGAAACUGAAGCUGCUUCUCCAUCCGUGUCUUCUGCCAGGCGUCCACCAAACUGCCCGAGAAGCUCAGCAUCCACCGAAUUCUCCACCGCUUCGUGUCUUCAGCUAGCUCACGCUCGGUCAACAAUGAAACCAGAAGAAGCCCCAUCGUUGACUGAAGAUCCUCACCGCACGGAGUCAAGACCACCUAUUUCUCCACUAUCUUCGUGCGCCAACGUUUCCAUCGGGUUCUUCUCACGCUGCCGCUGAAACUGCUUUAUGAUCGCUCCACUGCAGCAACGACACAGCUCCACCUCCUGCCCUAGUUGCUGCCAAG
This 8742-nucleotide long non-coding RNA is filed under the name Eucalyptus grandis. RNAcentral describes it as "long non-coding RNA (EGRA_LNC001951)". The record is from RNAcentral. Lineage: Eukaryota; Viridiplantae; Streptophyta; Magnoliopsida; Myrtales; Myrtaceae.